AAAGAAUUACGAUUGUUGGGCAACACAGGUAGACUUAGAGACAUAUAGUCAAAACUGGGAAGAUAUAGCCUGAUCAACUAUAUUAUCCGAGGGUUGACUAGCAUGUGCCUAAGUGUAGUUGUGAGGUUGCAACAAGUCUAAAAUCUUACCAACAAUACCACAAUGAGAACAAUAGAACAUAAACCUAAAAUACUAUAGGGGUAUUUGGUGUUACUAUAAGUACUUUAUACUUGAGAUCUAAAAAGGAUCUUCAUUACUAAGUUGAUAGUUGCUAAGUGGAUACACUAAGGCUAUAUGUAACUAGGAUGUAAUAGACUUAGAAUUUGUGAAAAUUUUGCUUUACCCCUAUUCUUUGUGAAUUUGAAGUUAAGAUCACUUAUUCGAAGGCCUAUCCUGUUUUGAUUACUUAUAAAUGGUAUGCACUUCACAAAUAGUGAUGUAACUAAUGAAGAUUUUCUAAAUAAUUAUCUACAUAGUUCAUCCAAUAAUUAUUUUCUUACCCCAAUUCUCGCGUAGAUAACAUGGCUGGACUCCAUCCCCACGACAAUCCGUACCUUCCGAACAAAGUCAUUGCUAGAUGGUUUGGAGAAGAACCCGAGAAUGAUCAUCCUAUUCCUUUGAAUGAUCACCAUGAUGAAGACCGUUCGGAUGGUGUUAAAUCCGAACCCGAGGUUGAGAACCUACCCCAGGCAGCUCCCUUUCCAAAUCCUAACCCUCGUCCGGCUUUUCAUGGCCCGACGCGUUAGUGGGUGGAAUGCUUGGAAACAUGGAGCCAAGGACAAGAUCAGCCCAUGCCAUUUAAUGGUGACCGAAGCUUUUAUGACCUGAGCAAUGGGGGCUCAGCAGACAGAAUCUUGCCAAUCCUAGUCCGCAGAGUGGCUCGAAAUGAGAUUCAAGGCAGGACAGCCCUACAUCAGAUCACAGAAGUUGUCGCCAAUGUGACAAUGCAUACCCUCCGCACCAUUCGUCUGGAAGAUGCUCGUGAGAGAUCGGAGAGAGACCAUGAAACCCUGCUACAAGCACUGGCUGAAUCACGAGUCGAAGUCAUAGAACUCCGAGUACACCAGAGGGUGUACGAAAGACACCUACUUGAUAUGGAACGCUAACUGGCUGAACUGAGAGUUCACCAGAGGGAUGACUGUCGCCAGUAGUAGAUGCUUUACUUUAUUUUCCUUGUUAAAAGGAAUCGUUUUCUGUCUAUGCCCGAUGUGGCAUUUUCUAUGAAACUAUCUUGUACUGUAAGUACUUUAGUUAGGUCUUUAUGCUGUCAAGGACCUUCUACUCUGGAUAUGAUGUAAGACCUUUUACAGGAUCAUUUUUCCCAAACUUUUACAUCAUGAAUAUCAAAGAUAUUGACAUUCGGCUAACUUCUGUGUCAUUCUUUAUUCAAAUAGUUUCAUCAUGCUAUCAUGGGAGUUUAUUUGAAACCCACUCUAGUUGAGUUAUUGAACUAGGGUAUUCUAGCUCAGGAAUAAUUCCUGAUUCUUCUUUAAAAGUUGGAUCAUGUUAUUUACCAGAUGACGGUACCCUGUUUUAGACUUCAAGCGUCAUAAGGCCAUACUACGAACAUACUUCCAUUCUUUACUAGGACUGCAUCAUAGGGAUGUAGGUCGAACCUUUGCAAACAUACUUCCAAUCCGAACUAGGACUGCAUCAUAGGGAUGUAGGUCAAACUUUCGAGAACAUACUCUUACUCUUCGAUUGAACGAGCAAAGUACAUCUAGGGUCAAUAGUAGCCACUACUAGAAAUUCUAGUUCAUCAUAUAGGAUUCGUAAGAAGAUUAUUAUUAUGACUUUCCUCGCUUAUACAUUCCCAAGUUAUAUAUAACGAAGACCUGGUAGACAAUAGAAUGUGAGAUUUCUAACUUAGUUUCUUUUCCCCGUUGGGAUGUGGGACUAGAGUAGAAUCACACAUUUUAUUAUCCGCCCAUUCUUGAUUAUAUCAUAACGUGUAUAAGCUAAGUGUUCAUGUAUAAUAACUCAGUUCUUAGCCAGAAUCAAAAUGGUACAGGUUCAACCAUACUCGCUCACGAGUUCAUUCUCUUUCCUUGUAAAAGAAUCAUAUCGUCACCCAGAAAUAGUCAACUGAGCAACGAACCCAUAUCCUCCAUAUCGACGCCACUAUGUUACAAGCAGCGGUAGCAGCUGCUGUGGCAGCUUUCCUUACACACAUCAACUUUGUCAAACAAGCCCGACAAAGGAGUCGACAGUUCUGAUUGUAGUACCAAACCGGGAAACCAACAAAUGACAACAGUCACAGACCUAAAAAGCUGAAAAACUAAGAAGAAUAAACAAAAGCGCCAAGCCCAAAAAGAGUGCAAGAGAUCCCAAAAACUAGCCGUGGAACAGCAACAAGUGGCAGCCCCUGCAUUCCCAGUACCGACCAGGCCAUACGAAGGAAAACUUCCGAAGUGUAACAAGUGCAACUCUCAUCAUAAUGGGGCUUGCCAUGAAAUGCAAUGUUGCAAUUGCCUAAAAAUAGGGCACCAUGCUCGUAGCUGUGGAGCACCGGCACGACCCAUUCUUCCAGUCCCUGGCAUCGGGACCAACUCCACAAACAAAAGUAGUGAUAAAGCCAAACUCUUUAGUAGGAAAUUUUUAAAGUGGAGUAAUGAGGAAGGCACUCGUGUCCACGUAACUCUGACUAAACACCUUACUCCCACCACCAAUGCUAGUACUAGCCAGUUAUGCCACCAAUGUGGUGAGGUAGGGCACUUCAAGAAGGAUUGUCCUAUAACAAAGAAUUUGGGCGCAGACGGCAUAAUUCAAAGGAUCACUGCCGCAGGGGAGACUACUCCGAACCCACGUAAAAGUAAUUAAGGCGUUUUGUUGUAACAGACUUAUAAACCAUCCAAAAAUAGUGUAAUUAGAGUCUUAUCUUUUGCGAGAUCCCGUCGGUAAAGGGAUGCUCGUGCUGCGUAUACUUGUGUUUUGUAGUAUACCUUAUUCGCAUCAAUAGUCUUGUAGUAAGUCUAAAGUACUGUAACUCUGUUGAUGGUUGCACGGUUGUGUUUUGUCUGUAAUGCCUUAUGUUCAAAUCUAAUGUCUUUAAGUUUCCUUAUGAUUCCGACAUUACCAUACAACUAGAUUCAAUUUGAUCUGCACAAUACCAGCUUCAUACGUACAUCUCUUUCUCUGUAAAUGUCUUUUUAACGAAGCCAUCAUUUCAGAACUCGGAAGUAUAUCUGCUUAGAGUACCUCAGGUUUCUUAUCCUUUCCGAAGAAGCCACAGAAAACCUCCCCAAAGUACCACUCGUACAGUACGUCAAGUUCAAUCCGAAGAUCCAUACGAUUGAUCUAUCGCUGAAGAAUGUAUACAUAGGGGUGAUAUAUAAUCAAGGUCCUACAGGUUUAGAAUUGAUGAUUCCACUUUAACUUCUUUUCCUCGUAGGGAUAAGAAUUUAAAGAAGAAUCAGUUAUUCGACUACCUUUUCAAUCUUAAUUAUAUACGACUUGUAUACACGAGACUGCGAUUGAUGAACCAUGUAUGACUUCUAAAUGUGAACUUCAGGACGGAGACUGCCCAAGACUACGAGUAAUCGCAUCAUCGUGUGAACAAACCUAGAACCCAGUACGGCUUCUGCAACCAGAUCGCCCUACAGUCUAAACACCCACAGAAAUACAAGAACAAUCUGGACAGUUUAAAGACUACUUAGCACUAGAAUAGAAAGACCAAGCUUCUCAUCCUAGAGAACUUCGGUAUUAUUCGUCAAGAAGAUAGACUGAUUGCUUUGUAAGUCCCUUAUCUUCAGAGACCUCGUCAAGAUUUCAAUUAGAAAUCAUUAUCUCUGCCUAGCAUGAAUGUGUGGGCUAAGCAAACGCAAGGAACGAUUUACCUUUUAGAACUGGACCGAGAUCCGAAUACCAGCAGUUUCGAGUGUUAGGGAAGGAUGUCCCGAAGACUACCUUCCAAACUCGAUGCGGACACUUCGAGUCCGUGGUAAUACCCCUCGUAUAGGACCAAUACGCCCAUAGUAUUCAUGAGCUUAAUGAAUAGGGUACGCCAAUCUUACUUGGAUCAGUUCGUCAUUCUCCUUGUAAUGACUUACUUAUCUACCCUCGUAGUAAGAAGGAACCCAUGGAAACAUUACCCUCAGAGAAACCUGUCGUGAAGUUCUCUAAACACGAGUUUUGGAAUUUAAGAUUCAAAUUCCUAAGACACACUAUUAGUGAUGGGAAAUUUUGAGUACUCUGUAAAUUUAUCAAAACCGUUGGGAUGUGGUCUGGUAAGGUAUCGAGUAUCCAUCCGAAGGUCGUUCAAAUAUUAGUUAUAUAUCAUGUGUAGAUAUAUAGUCAUAAAGGUUCUUCCAGUCAGUUCGAUACCAUUAGGUAGCAAGGGUAUACUUCCUUGUUCAUACGUACCAGUUACAUUACUAGUAAGCUACCGUAUGGGUAGUUUAGGAGGAUACUAAUACUAUUACUAGAAUGCAGAAUCAUACCACGAGUCAGUUCAUUCAUGAGUCUAUACAUGCUAGAUAGAGAGAGAACACACAUUACAGCUAGCACACACAGAACAUUACAGUACAUUACUGUACAUGCUAGAUAGAGAGAGAGAACACACAUUACAGCUAGCACACGUAGAACAUUACAGUACAUACAGGCUAGACAGAGAAAGAGUACACUUUACAGUAGCACAUUCAUUACAUGUACAUUCAUGCAGUUAUGUGAACCGUUUAACGGGUCAUGGCACUUCCUACCAUGACCGUUUUGUAUCCCGAAUCUCCUGAGUUUGCGUAUAGAUCUAUAUUGGAUUGACUAUCCUACACCUUGCCGCUCGCUACAGUGGGACUUGCAAGUCUACAGGUGCCAAAUGCCAUUUCUUACGGCGUCUUACGUCGUCGUUUUACUAGAGUCGGUAGCAGGAUACAGGUCAAUUACAUGUUACUUUAAAUUACAAUAGAUUUAAAGUAGUUAGUACGGUCGUAGUUAUUUGAUACUGCACCAUAGUACUAUUUCAUUUUCCCUUUAUAGUGAAUUAAGUAUAUCAACCCAUAAAAGAUAUACAGACUACAAAUAUAAUGGGAUUAAUAUACUCUGACAAAGAAUUAUACUUUAAAUAAUAAAAUAUUUAAUUAAGUAUACGUGCCUGUAUUCAUACUAAAAUCAGUGUCACUAGGAUAGUACAAAAGAAUUACGAUUGUUGGGCAGCACAAGUAGACUUAGAGACAUAUAGUCAAAACUGGGAAGAUAUAGCUUGAUCAACUAUAUUAUCCGAGGGUUGACUAGCAUGUGCCUAAAUGUAGUUGUGAGGUUGCAACAAGUCUAAAAUCUUACCAACAAUACCACAAUGAGAACAACAGAACAUAAAACUAAAAUACUAUAGGGGUAUUUGGUGUUACUAUAGGUACUUUAUACUUGAGAACUAAAAAGGAUCUUCAUUACUAAGUUGAUAGUUGCUAAGUGGAUACACUAAAGUUAUAUGUAACUAGGAU
Molecule: long non-coding RNA, 5432 nt
Filed under: Lactuca sativa (garden lettuce)
Lineage: Eukaryota; Viridiplantae; Streptophyta; Magnoliopsida; Asterales; Asteraceae
Description: long non-coding RNA (LSAT_LNC007395)
Source: RNAcentral